This 490-nucleotide ribosomal RNA is filed under the name uncultured bacterium. RNAcentral describes it as "partial 16S ribosomal RNA". It matches the Rfam family "Bacterial small subunit ribosomal RNA", at positions 28 to 507 of the family's 1533-position model. The record is from RNAcentral.
GAUGAACGCUAGCGAUAGGCUUAACACAUGCCAGUCGAGGGGCAGCAUGGUCUUAGCUUGCUAAGGCUGAUGGCGACCGGCGCACGGGUGCGUAACGCGUAUGCAACUUGCCUCACAGAGGGGGAUAACCCGUCGAAAGACGGACUAAUACCGCGUACACUCUAUGUUGGGCAUCCAAUGUAGAGGAAAUGAAAUUCGCUGUGAGAUAGGCAUGCGUCCCAUUAGCUAGUUGGUGAGGUAACGGCUCACCAAGGCGACGAUGGGUAGGGGAACUGAGAGGUUGAACCCCCACACUGGUACUGAGACACGGACCAGACUCCUACGGGAGGCAGCAGUGAGGAAGAUUGGUCAAUGGGCGAGAGCCUGAACCAGCCAAGUCGCGUGAAGGAUGACUGUCUUAUGGAUUGUAAACUUCUUUUAUACGGGAAUAACAAGAGUCACGUGUGGCUCCCUGCAUGUACCGUAUGAAUAAGCAUCGGCUAACUCCGUG